UGAGGAAUAUUGGUCAAUGGACGGAAGUCUGAACUAGCCAAGUAGCGUGCAGGAUGACGGCCCUAUGGGUUGUAAACUGCUUUUGUAUGGGGAUAAAGUUAGGGACGUGUCCCUAUUUGCAGGUACCAUACGAAUAAGGACCGGCUAAUUCCGUGCCAGCAGCCGCGGUAAUACGGAAGGUCCAGGCGUUAUCCGGAUUUAUUGGGUUUAAAGGGAGCGUAGGCUGGAGAUUAAGUGUGUUGUGAAAUGUAGACGCUCAACGUCUGAAUUGCAGCGCAUACUGGUUUCCUUGAGUACGCACAACGUUGGCGGAAUUCGUCGUGUAGCGGUGAAAUGCUUAGAUAUGACGAAGAACUCCGAUUGCGAAGGCAGCUGACGGGAGCGCAACUGACGCUUAAGCUCGAAGGUGCGGGUAUCAAACAGG
RNAcentral lists this ribosomal RNA (424 nucleotides) under Verrucomicrobiota bacterium. Its description in RNAcentral is "Verrucomicrobia bacterium partial 16S ribosomal RNA". It matches the Rfam family "Bacterial small subunit ribosomal RNA", at positions 355 to 776 of the family's 1533-position model. The record is from RNAcentral. Lineage: Bacteria; Pseudomonadati; Verrucomicrobiota.